Molecule: ribosomal RNA, 96 nt
Filed under: Streptomyces sp. ok210
Lineage: Bacteria; Bacillati; Actinomycetota; Actinomycetes; Kitasatosporales; Streptomycetaceae
Description: 23S rRNA. Bacterial LSU
Rfam family: Bacterial large subunit ribosomal RNA
Source: RNAcentral
UAAGGCUCCCAGUAGACGACUGGGUUGAUAGGCCAGAUGUGGAAGCCCGGCAACGGGUGGAGCUGACUGGUACUAAUAGGCCGAGGGCUUGUCCUC